UUAAGCGCAACUAACGGUUAAGAUGAAGGCGUGAUAGUGAUGACAAGGUCCAUUCACGUGCGUUCUUCGAUUUGUAUAUAUCCAUUUCGCUUUCACUACUUUCCUCCCUUCAUCACAUUCACUAUUUCCUGUUGUGUGUGUGUGAGAGAGAGAUGGAUCCUCCUCCUUCACAAUCCAUUGAUAUUUCCCAAGGCGGCGGGGAUGAUACUCAAGACAAGCUCAUCAAUGACUGUUGCUCUUGCUGCUAUGACUGUACUCAGGGCUGCUUUGAUUACCUCUGCUGUAACUUGUGUUGAACUCAUCAUGUAAUUAUCUAUGCCCUUAUGAGAACAUGGAAAAGAUUUUUUAAAGUGAGAAAUCAUCGAAUUUGUAGUUUCUAUAGUAUAUGAUCUCGGAAAAAUUUAAAAUGUACUGGUACAUUAGUAUUAUAGUAAUUUUUAACGGUUGAUUUUAAUUAUAAAAAAUAUAUGUAAUAUAUAUAAUUAAGAUCAAAUGUUAAAAUUUACUGAAAUAUUAGUGUAUUGGUAGACUUAAAAACUUUCUUAUGAUGUUUACUAUUUUAAUUUAAGAGUCAUUCAAAUGAAAGGAAAAAGCACUGCAUGUUCUUGACACAUUCCUCUGCUCUUCCAAGCUGUAUUUUCCGUAUCAUUCUUUUUGCCCUUUAAUUUCCUACUAGUUACAUAUAUGCCUUUUGCUUAUUAUUGAUUGUUAAAGAAGAUGAACAGAAUAAAUUAGUAGUGUUUUUCACUUUAAUGUUGAAGCAUCGCUUCAAUUAUUUGCAAUAAGUUGCAACCACGAUCUGAGUUUCUUAUUACUUGGUUGCAACUUGCAAAAAUGGAGAUGAAUCGUGAUCAAAGGUUGGGGUGUGCAAGAUUGAUUUCUUCCGAUA
Molecule: long non-coding RNA, 889 nt
Organism: Arachis ipaensis
Lineage: Eukaryota; Viridiplantae; Streptophyta; Magnoliopsida; Fabales; Fabaceae
Source: RefSeq, a predicted model, not a curated record